Molecule: long non-coding RNA, 412 nt
Organism: Armigeres subalbatus
Lineage: Eukaryota; Metazoa; Arthropoda; Insecta; Diptera; Culicidae
Exons: 3
Source: RefSeq, a predicted model, not a curated record
UUAUAAUAGGAUCUGUUCAAUGUUAGUCGUUAAAAUACUCAUUGUUAUAAAUUAAAUAGUACGGAUUUGUGUUAGUAAAAAUCGAUUAGUGUGUAAAAUCCCAUUCGAAUCCACACGAACAAAUAACGACAAUGACAAACGAAUUAAAAACGAAAUAGAAAAAGUUCUCGACAGUGCAGUGCAUCGGUGGAAACUUCCGUGGGCGAAGAGCUAGUUCCGGUUCCUUCGGCCGCAUAGAUCCCGACGAUUUGGAUGCCGGAGACUUUCGGUCCAAAUCCGUGCCGCCAUUGCUUUUGAGCACGCGGGAUUGCCGUUUGCUGAACGUAGGCCGCCAUCUUCCAGCCACAUUCCAGUGCCGCACUAGCCCCGUCCGUGGAUUGACGUCCGGACUGUAAAGACCCUGCGACCAACG